GCGCAGGUGGCGGAAUGGUAGACGCGCAAGGUUGAGGGCCUUGUCGGGGGUUCUCGGUGGGGGUUCAAGUCCCCCUCUGCGCA
Molecule: transfer RNA, 83 nt
Filed under: Ilyobacter polytropus DSM 2926
Lineage: Bacteria; Fusobacteriati; Fusobacteriota; Fusobacteriia; Fusobacteriales; Fusobacteriaceae
Rfam family: tRNA
About the family: Transfer RNA (tRNA) molecules are approximately 80 nucleotides in length.
Source: Rfam by way of RNAcentral